Molecule: transfer RNA, 84 nt
Filed under: Planctomycetota bacterium
Lineage: Bacteria; Pseudomonadati; Planctomycetota
Description: Planctomycetes bacterium tRNA-Leu
Rfam family: tRNA
About the family: Transfer RNA (tRNA) molecules are approximately 80 nucleotides in length. Their secondary structure includes four short double-helical elements and three loops (D, anti-codon, and T loops). Further hydrogen bonds mediate the characteristic L-shaped molecular structure. tRNAs have two regions of fundamental functional importance: the anti-codon, which is responsible for specific mRNA codon recognition, and the 3' end, to which the tRNAs corresponding amino acid is attached (by aminoacyl-tRNA synthetases). tRNAs cope with the degeneracy of the genetic code in two manners: having more than one tRNA (with a specific anti-codon) for a particular amino acid; and 'wobble' base-pairing, i.e. permitting non-standard base-pairing at the 3rd anti-codon position.
Source: RNAcentral
GCCCAGAUGGCGGAACUGGCAGACGCGCCACCUUGAGGUGGUGGUUCCUUAACGGGAGUGGAGGUUCGAAUCCUCUUCUGGGCA